CUCUUAGGUUGUGCUUCACAGUUGGAACUGCAUUGUUUGGGAGAUUAAAGGAGGCUGUCCACGAGGCUCCACAGCACUGCGUGCAAGAGUAAGAUGCCCAGAUUCUUAAGGAUUGGCCACAUCGACCCAAAGGAGAAGUUCUUCUCCAGGCGGAGCCGGUUGGGGCUCACUUGCCAUACUUGAGCUGCACAGGAAGUGACACAAUCAGGCGCUAAAUCCUGCGUGCCAGGUUUCACCCCAUUCUCACUGAUGCCGGGGCCACGCUGACAUCACGGGCUGCAAGAUGUGCCCGCAUAACGAUUUCAUCACUCGCUGACAUCACCUCGCACCUCUGUCAGCCG
Molecule: long non-coding RNA, 341 nt
Organism: Pungitius pungitius (ninespine stickleback)
Lineage: Eukaryota; Metazoa; Chordata; Actinopteri; Perciformes; Gasterosteidae
Exons: 3
Source: RefSeq, a predicted model, not a curated record